Molecule: long non-coding RNA, 552 nt
Organism: Salvia splendens (bonfire salvia)
Lineage: Eukaryota; Viridiplantae; Streptophyta; Magnoliopsida; Lamiales; Lamiaceae
Exons: 2
Source: RefSeq, a predicted model, not a curated record
CAGCGGCAGCAGCAGCAGCAUUGAGUACAAUUUCAACUUUUCGAUCUCCUCUUCCGCCAAUUCAUCAGGCCUUGAUCAUGGUGGCUUCAAUAGGGGGACCCUUCAGUCCAAUUCAUCAUCGCCGUCACUUCUGCCUCACCUCCAGAGGUACUCCGACGGAUCCGCCCCGAGUUUCUUCCUCGGCACCGCCGAAACCCAACACCAGUUCCUCUCCGGCUACGACCCCCGCGGCCUGCAGCUCUGCUACGGCGACGCCCACGCCAGCAGCGGCCGCCACUCCGCCCAGAGAGGAGGGAAAAGCAAGAACUGAAGCGACGUCGUCCAACUGGUAAAAUGUGAAGACAAGAAAAUGAAACAGGCGCAAUGGCUGAACAGAGCGCCGCGCCCUGUAUUAUGAUUAUUAUGCCUCUGGAUUUCUAAUUGUUCUGUUCCAACUCCCAUUCUAUUAGCACUAUCUGUUGCACAUUGCUGCUCUAUUUAUUAUAUAUUGUGCCCAACGCAGCAGUUUGUUUGUGUUUGCGUGAUUGAUUGAUGAGAAAAUGUCUUGCUGCA